UGAGCAAUCUGCCCUUCUCAUCGGAAUAAGCGUUGGAAACGACGUCUAAUGCCGAAUACGACCUCCUUUCGCAUGAUCGGAGGUGGAAAGCUCCGGCGGAGAAGGAUGAGCUCGCGGCCUAUCAGCUAGUUGGUGUGGGUAAUGGCCCACCAAGGCGACGACGGGUAGCCGGUCUGAGAGGGUGACCGGCCACAUUGGGACUGAGACACGGCCCAGACUCCUACGGGAGCAG
RNAcentral lists this ribosomal RNA (232 nucleotides) under uncultured bacterium. RNAcentral describes it as "partial 16S ribosomal RNA". It matches the Rfam family "Bacterial small subunit ribosomal RNA", at positions 118 to 347 of the family's 1533-position model. The record is from RNAcentral.